AACGAACGCUGGCGGCAUGCCUAACACAUGCAAGUCGAACGAGAUCUUCGGGUCUAGCGGCUCACGGGUGCGUAGCGCGUGGGAAUCGGACCUUUGGUUCGGAAGAACAGUUGGAAACGAUUGCUAAUACCGGCUGAAGACGAAAGUCCAAAGAUUUAUCGCCAGAGGAUGAGCCCGCGUAGGAGUAGCUAGGUGGUGUGGUAAAGGCGCACGAAGGCGACGAUCCUUAGCUGGUCUGAGAGGAUGAUCAGCCACACUGGGACUGAGACACGGCCCAGACUCCUACGGGAGGCAGCAGUGGGGAAUAUUGGACAAUGGGCGAAAGCCUGAUCCAGCAAUGCCGCGUGAGUGAUGAAGGCCUUAGGGUUGUAAAGCUCUUUUACCCGGGAUGAUAAUGACAGUACCGGGAGAAUAAGCUCCGGCUAACUCCGUGCCAGCAGCCGCAGUAA
RNAcentral lists this ribosomal RNA (449 nucleotides) under uncultured bacterium. RNAcentral describes it as "partial 16S ribosomal RNA". It matches the Rfam family "Bacterial small subunit ribosomal RNA", at positions 29 to 523 of the family's 1533-position model. The record is from RNAcentral.